UGGACUAUCGCCAAGUGGUAAGGCAACGGACUUUGACUCCGUCAUCCCGCAGGUUCGAAUCCCGCUAGUCCAACCA
RNAcentral lists this transfer RNA (76 nucleotides) under Oscillospiraceae bacterium. RNAcentral's name for it is "tRNA-Gln". It matches the Rfam family "tRNA". Rfam says of the family: Transfer RNA (tRNA) molecules are approximately 80 nucleotides in length. Their secondary structure includes four short double-helical elements and three loops (D, anti-codon, and T loops). Further hydrogen bonds mediate the characteristic L-shaped molecular structure. tRNAs have two regions of fundamental functional importance: the anti-codon, which is responsible for specific mRNA codon recognition, and the 3' end, to which the tRNAs corresponding amino acid is attached (by aminoacyl-tRNA synthetases). tRNAs cope with the degeneracy of the genetic code in two manners: having more than one tRNA (with a specific anti-codon) for a particular amino acid; and 'wobble' base-pairing, i.e. permitting non-standard base-pairing at the 3rd anti-codon position. Lineage: Bacteria; Bacillati; Bacillota; Clostridia; Eubacteriales; Oscillospiraceae. The record is from RNAcentral.